GCUUUGCAUGAAGCCUCUUGUCCAGGUGU
RNAcentral lists this non-coding RNA (29 nucleotides) under Homo sapiens (human). Lineage: Eukaryota; Metazoa; Chordata; Mammalia; Primates; Hominidae. The record is from RNAcentral.